AUUGCUUCUUGGCCUUUUGGUUAAGAUCAAGUGUAGUAUCUGUUCUUAUCAGUUUAAUAUCUGAUACAUCCUCUAUCCGAGGACAAUAUAAUUAAUGGAUUUUUGGAACAGGAAAAUGGAAUAGGAGCUUGCUCUGUCCACUCCACGCAUCAGCCUGGUGUUGCAGUACCUCCAGGAACAGUGCACCAGAA
This 191-nucleotide small nuclear RNA is filed under the name Castor canadensis (American beaver). Its description in RNAcentral is "U2 spliceosomal RNA (ENSCCNG00000023768.1)". It matches the Rfam family "U2 spliceosomal RNA". From Rfam's summary of the family: U2 is a small nuclear RNA (snRNA) component of the spliceosome (involved in pre-mRNA splicing). Lineage: Eukaryota; Metazoa; Chordata; Mammalia; Rodentia; Castoridae. The record is from Rfam by way of RNAcentral.